This 472-nucleotide ribosomal RNA is filed under the name uncultured bacterium. Its description in RNAcentral is "partial 16S ribosomal RNA". It matches the Rfam family "Bacterial small subunit ribosomal RNA", at positions 28 to 507 of the family's 1533-position model. The record is from RNAcentral.
GACGAACGCUGGCGGCGUGCUUAACACAUGCAAGUCGAACGCUGAAGCUUGGUGCUUGCACUGGGUGGAUGAGUGGCGAACAGGUGAGUAAUACGUGAGUAACCUGCCCUUGACUCUGGGAUAAGCCUGGGAAACUGGGUCUAAUACUGGAUACGACAUGUCACCGCAUGGUGGUGUGUGGAAAGGGUUUUACUGGUUUUGGAUGGGCUCACGGCCUAUCAGCUUGUUGGUGGGGUAAUGGCUCACCAAGGCGACGACGGGUAGCCGGCCUGAGAGGGUGACCGGCCACACUGGGACUGAGACACGGCCCAGACUCCUACGGGAGGCAGCAGUGGGGAAUAUUGCACAAUGGGCGGAAGCCUGAUGCAGCGACGCCGCGUGAGGGAUGACGGCCUUCGGGUUGUAAACCUCUUUCAGCACGGAAGAAGCGAAAGUGACGGUACGUGCAGAAGAAGCGCCGGCUAACUACGUG